RNAcentral lists this ribosomal RNA (185 nucleotides) under uncultured bacterium. Its description in RNAcentral is "partial 16S ribosomal RNA". It matches the Rfam family "Bacterial small subunit ribosomal RNA", at positions 524 to 711 of the family's 1533-position model. The record is from RNAcentral.
UACGGAGGGGGUUAGCGUUGUUCGGAAUUACUGGGCGUAAAGCGUACGUAGGCGGAUCAGAAAGUUGGGGGUGAAAUCCCGGGGCUCAACCCCGGAACUGCUCCAAACUCUGGUCUUGAGUUCGAGAGAGGUGAGUGGAAUUCCAAGUGUAGAGGUGAAAUUCGUAGAUAUUUGGAGGAAAGCAC